This 279-nucleotide non-coding RNA is filed under the name Stegodyphus mimosarum. Its description in RNAcentral is "eukaryotic small subunit ribosomal RNA". It matches the Rfam family "Eukaryotic small subunit ribosomal RNA", at positions 1194 to 1438 of the family's 1831-position model. Lineage: Eukaryota; Metazoa; Arthropoda; Arachnida; Araneae; Eresidae. The record is from Rfam by way of RNAcentral.
CUUGACUCAACACGAGAAAACUUAUCCGGCCCGGACACAGAAAGGCUUGACAGAUUAAGAACUUGAUUCUGUGGGUGGUGGUGCAUGGCCGUUCUUAGUUGGUGAAGCGAUUUGUCUGGUUAAUUCCGAUAACGAACGAGACUCUAGCCUACUAAGUACGCUCCGAACCUUCGAGUCAGACGUUCUUCUUAAGCCCCGUUCACACCAACGCACGUUCGGGCGGAAAGCGUUGACCAAUCAGAAGCUAGCUCACAGGAGGCAUUUUCCGGACGAACGGAG